This is a long non-coding RNA of Ictalurus punctatus (channel catfish), 503 nucleotides long. The record is from Ensembl. Lineage: Eukaryota; Metazoa; Chordata; Actinopteri; Siluriformes; Ictaluridae.
CACAAACGCAGCUGUGAGAAAACGCAGCAACUUCCUCUUCCAAACCAACAGACGGCGCUAUCGGUCAAUUUACACCAGUCUCCCGAGAAGCAUUACAUCAUUCCACAGUACAGUGCAGGAAGUAGCUGAGAGAGGAAGAAGUAACGCACCAUAAUAAUGCUGACAAACAUGAAUGCUGAGGAGGAGGAGGAGGAGUUGUUGUGAUCUAAAAGACGGAGGACAAGAAGAUGGAAUCAUGUGAGCUGGAAAUCGAUCGACGUCAACCAUCUUGAAGGACAUCUAAAUUCUCGAAUUGCACCGCGAGGAGGCGAGGAACGAGGAGUGAGGAAGCGAGGAAGCUUCCAGAGGAGCUAGGUUCGCGGGGAACCUGGAGCCUGUCCCAGGGAGUAUGGGGCACAAGGCAGGGUACACCCUGGACAGGGUGCCAAUCCAUCGCAGAGCACAAUCAUAUACGCAAUCACACACUACAGACCCUUUGGACAUGCCAGUCAGCCUACCAUGCU